AUGUGCCGGUGCCGGUGCUGCCGCUGCUGCUGCUGCAUCUUCACGUCGGCGCGCGCUUUCCUGGCAAGGAGCGUGUACGCGCCAGCGGCGAUCUCGGCGGCGGCGGCGUCCCCGCGCCGGAGGGCGACCUCGAGGUCGAACGCGGAGGCGCGCAUGGAGCGCAGCCCGUCGCGCGCCGCGGCGCACGCGUCGAGCAGCCCAACGGACGCCUCUAGCUCCUCCUCCACCUGCUCGGGGCGCGCGAACCGCAGGAGCGGCUCCACGUGCUCGUACACGCGCGCCACGCCUUCCAGAUCCCCCGCCAUCGCCGCCGCCGACGACGAGCACACGUACCCCUCCAUGUUAGCAGCACUUCACUUGUACAACAAGCUCUGCCCACGUAGCUGCUGGACGACCAGAUGA
Molecule: ribosomal RNA, 402 nt
Filed under: Triticum aestivum (bread wheat)
Lineage: Eukaryota; Viridiplantae; Streptophyta; Magnoliopsida; Poales; Poaceae
Description: partial small subunit ribosomal RNA
Source: RNAcentral